UACAGAGGUCUCAAGCGUUGUUCGGAUUCAUUGGGCGUAAAGGGUGCGUAGGCGGCGCGGUAAGUCGGGUGUGAAAUCUCGGAGCUUAACUCCGAAACUGCAUUCGAUACUGCCGUGCUUGAGGACUGGAGAGGAGACUGGAAUUUACGGUGUAGCGGUGAAAUGCGCAGAUAUCAGGAGGAACACCAAUUGCGAAGGCAGCUCGCUGGGACGUAACUGACGCUGAGACGCGAAAGCGUGGGGAGCAAACAGG
RNAcentral lists this ribosomal RNA (253 nucleotides) under uncultured bacterium. RNAcentral describes it as "partial 16S ribosomal RNA". It matches the Rfam family "Bacterial small subunit ribosomal RNA", at positions 524 to 776 of the family's 1533-position model. The record is from RNAcentral.